RNAcentral lists this ribosomal RNA (766 nucleotides) under uncultured bacterium. Its description in RNAcentral is "bacterial SSU rRNA". It matches the Rfam family "Bacterial small subunit ribosomal RNA", at positions 28 to 789 of the family's 1533-position model. The record is from RNAcentral.
GAUGAACGCUAUYCGGCAGGCUUAAUACAUGCAAGUCGUGGGGCAGCACAGGUAGCAAUACUGGGUGGCGACCGGCAAACGGGUGCGGAACACGUACGCAACCUUCCUUUAAGCGGGGGAUAGCCCAGGGAAACUUGGAUUAAUACCCCAUAAGACAAUGGUGUGGCAUCACACAGUUGUUAAAGCUCCGGCACUUAAAGAUGGGCGUGCGGCUGAUUAGGUAGUUGGCGGGGUAACGGCCCACCAAGCCGACGAUCAGUAACUGGUGUGAGAGCACGACCAGUCACACGGGCACUGAGACACGGGCCCGACUCCUACGGGAGGCAGCAGUAAGGAAUAUUGGUCAAUGGACGCAAGUCUGAACCAGCCAUGCCGCGUGGAGGAUGAAGGCCCUCUGGGUUGUAAACUUCUUUUAUUGGGGAAGAAACCUGUUUUUUCUAAAGCAGUUGACGGUACCCGAUGAAUAAGCACCGGCUAACUCCGUGCCAGCAGCCGCGGUAAUACGGAGGGUGCAAGCGUUAUCCGGAUUCACUGGGUUUAAAGGGUGCGUAGGUGGGCAGGUAAGUCAGUGGUGAAAUCUCUGGGCUUAACCCAGAAACUGCCGUUGAUACUAUCUGUCUUGAAUGUAGUGGAGGUGAGCGGAAUAUGUCAUGUAGCGGUGAAAUGCUUAGAUAUGACAUAGAACAUCUAUUGCGAAGGCAGCUCGCUACACUAUUAUUGACACUGAGGCACGAAAGCGUGGGGAUCAACAGGAUUAGAUACCCUG